Molecule: transfer RNA, 91 nt
Filed under: Gammaproteobacteria bacterium
Lineage: Bacteria; Pseudomonadati; Pseudomonadota; Gammaproteobacteria
Description: tRNA-Ser
Rfam family: tRNA
About the family: Transfer RNA (tRNA) molecules are approximately 80 nucleotides in length. Their secondary structure includes four short double-helical elements and three loops (D, anti-codon, and T loops). Further hydrogen bonds mediate the characteristic L-shaped molecular structure. tRNAs have two regions of fundamental functional importance: the anti-codon, which is responsible for specific mRNA codon recognition, and the 3' end, to which the tRNAs corresponding amino acid is attached (by aminoacyl-tRNA synthetases). tRNAs cope with the degeneracy of the genetic code in two manners: having more than one tRNA (with a specific anti-codon) for a particular amino acid; and 'wobble' base-pairing, i.e. permitting non-standard base-pairing at the 3rd anti-codon position.
Source: RNAcentral
GGUGGGGUGGCCGAGCGGUUUAAGGCACCUGUCUUGAAAACAGGCGAAGUUUCAACGACUUCCGUGAGUUCGAAUCUCACCCCCACCGCCA